GGAUCAGCCCUGAAGAUCCCACGGAGGCCAGGCGGCUCCGAUGGUCGGCCUCCCAAUAUGUGAUCAUGGAAGGCCGACUCUACAAAAGGUCGUUCUCCCUUCCCUUGCUCAGGUGCUUGGGAUCGACCGAUGCAGAUUAUGCUCUCCGAGAAGUGCAUGAAGGAAUCUGCGGGAGUCACUUGGGGGCAAAUCCCUAGCCUACAAAGUCCUACGACAGGGUUACUACUGGCC
Molecule: long non-coding RNA, 231 nt
Filed under: Elaeis guineensis (African oil palm)
Lineage: Eukaryota; Viridiplantae; Streptophyta; Magnoliopsida; Arecales; Arecaceae
Description: long non-coding RNA (EGUI_LNC064520)
Source: RNAcentral